GACGAACGCUGGCGGCGUGCUUAACACAUGCAAGUCGUACGGUAAGGCCCUUUCGGGGGUCCACGAGUGGCGAACGGGUGAGUAACACGUGAGUAACCUGCCCACAACUUUGGGAUAACGCUAGGAAACUGGUGCUAAUACUGGAUAUGUGCCCCUGCUGCAUGGUGGGGGUUGGAAAGCUCCGGCGGUUGUGGAUGGACUCGCGGCCUAUCAGCUUGUUGGUGGGGUAGUGGCCUACCAAGGCGGCGACGGGUAGCCGGCCUGAGAGGGUGACCGGCCACAUUGGGACUGAGAUACGGCCCAGACUCCUACGGGAGGCAGCAGUGGGGAAUAUUGCACAAUGGGCGCAAGCCGGAUGCAGCAACGCCGCGUGCGGGAUGACGGCCUUCGGGUUGUAAACCGCUUUCAGCAGGGACGAAGCUUUUUGUGACGGUACCUGCAGAAGAAGCACCGGCUAACUACGUG
RNAcentral lists this ribosomal RNA (465 nucleotides) under uncultured bacterium. RNAcentral describes it as "partial 16S ribosomal RNA". It matches the Rfam family "Bacterial small subunit ribosomal RNA", at positions 28 to 507 of the family's 1533-position model. The record is from RNAcentral.